RNAcentral lists this ribosomal RNA (429 nucleotides) under Bacteroidota bacterium. RNAcentral describes it as "Bacteroidetes bacterium partial 16S ribosomal RNA". It matches the Rfam family "Bacterial small subunit ribosomal RNA", at positions 355 to 776 of the family's 1533-position model. Lineage: Bacteria; Pseudomonadati; Bacteroidota. The record is from RNAcentral.
UAGGGAAUCUUCCGCAAUGGACGCAAGUCUGACGGCGCAACGCCGCGUGAGUGAAGAAGGAUUUCGGUUCGUAAAACUCUGUUGUUAGAGAAGAACAGCGCAUAGAGUAACUGUUAUGCGUGUGACGGUAUCUAACCAGAAAGCCACGGCUAACUACGUGCCAGCAGCCGCGGUAAUACGUAGGUGGCAAGCGUUGUCCGGAUUUAUUGGGCGUAAAGCGAGCGCAGGCGGUCAAUUAAGUCUGAUGUGAAAGCCCCCGGCUCAACCGGGGAGGGUCAUUGGAAACUGGUUGACUUGAGUGCAGAAGAGGUGAGUGGAAUUCCAUGUGUAGCGGUGAAAUGCGUAGAUCUAUGGCGGAACACCGGUGGCGAAGGCGACUCUCUGAUCUGUAACUGACGCUGUGGUUCGAAAGCGUGGGUAGCAAACAGG